This 355-nucleotide long non-coding RNA is filed under the name Serinus canaria (Common canary). RNAcentral's name for it is "lncRNA (ENSSCAG00000006877.1)". Lineage: Eukaryota; Metazoa; Chordata; Aves; Passeriformes; Fringillidae. The record is from RNAcentral.
CAAAAUUUCAUAAAAAUCCCCAAAAUAUCACAAAAAUACAUAAAAAUUCACCAAAAUUCUCAAAAAUUCCCAAAAAUUCCUGAAAAUUCCCAAAAAUCCCCCAAAUCCCCCAAAAUCCCCCAAAAUCCCCCAAAAUUCCCACUCACCUUUACAGUAGGUGCUGAUGCUGGCCUCGAGGGGCGUGGCCAGGUGGACCUCGGGUUCCUCCAGGUGGGAUUGGUUGGGGUCGCUCAGGAGGGAGAUGGAGAAAUUUGGGCCUCGGCCGCGCUCAAGGUGACGCGGGAGCUCUCGGCGUAGGCUCCGCCCCCCGUCCUCACUUCCGGAAAGCUUCGCUCCGCCCCCGAGGCCACGCCCA